GUAGUCAUAUGCUUGUCUCAAAGACUAAGCCAUGCAUGUCUAAGUAUAAACAAAUCUAUACUGUGAAACUGCGAAUGGCUCAUUAAAUCAGUUAUAGUUUAUUUGAUAAUACAUUACUACUUGGAUAACCGUGGUAAUUCUAGAGCUAAUACAUGCAAAAAAGCCCUGACUUCGGAAGGGGUGCACUUAUUAGAUAAAGCCAACGCUGGGUAAAACCAGUUUCCCUUGGUGAUUCAUAAUAAUUAAGCGGAUCGCAUGGCCUUGUGCUGGCGACGGUCCACUCGAUUUUCUGCCCUAUCAUGGUUGAGAUUGUAAGAUAGAGGCUUACAAUGCCUACAACGGGUAACGGGGAAU
This 354-nucleotide ribosomal RNA is filed under the name uncultured fungus. RNAcentral describes it as "SSU rRNA". It matches the Rfam family "Eukaryotic small subunit ribosomal RNA", at positions 20 to 370 of the family's 1831-position model. Lineage: Eukaryota; Fungi. The record is from RNAcentral.